RNAcentral lists this ribosomal RNA (246 nucleotides) under uncultured bacterium. RNAcentral describes it as "partial 16S ribosomal RNA". It matches the Rfam family "Bacterial small subunit ribosomal RNA", at positions 528 to 773 of the family's 1533-position model. The record is from RNAcentral.
UAGGGGGCAAGCGUUAUCCGGAUUUACUGGGUGUAAAGGGAGCGUAGACGGUGAGACAAGUCUGAAGUGAAAGCCCGGGGCUCAACCCCGGGACUGCUUUGGAAACUGCCUGACUGGAGUGCUGGAGAGGCAAGCGGAAUUCCUAGUGUAGCGGUGAAAUGCGUAGAUAUUAGGAAGAACACCAGUGGCGAAGGCAGCUUGCUGGACAGUAACUGACGUUGAGGCUCGAAAGCGUGGGGAGCAAAC